CUUUGUGAUGUUAAGGCUUAUUAAUGAUCAGGCGUGUUGUCAGAUGCACAGUAUCAUCAGCGUCCCUGUCGCUGUUUGGUUAAAGGAGAGAACUCAACUAAGGAAUCAUUGGGGCACCAACUAAACAUCCACCAUUUCAACUAGAGGUCAAAUCAUUCAGGCAGGUAGCCUAGUGGUUAGAGCAUUGGACUAGUAACUGAAAGGUUGCCGGAUCAAAUCCCUGAGCUGACAAGGUAACAAAAUCUCUCAUUCUGCCACUGAACAAGGCAGUUAACCCACUGUUCCUAGGCUUUCAUUGACAAUAAGAAUUUGUUCUUAACUGACUUGCCUAGUUAAAUAAAUAGUAAUUGUAGUUUCAUGAAGAUAUGAAUGGAAGUCUUAUCUACCCUAAACAAACAGUUGAAAUAUGUUGGUCCACUGGUGUCACUGAAGUACAGUUAAGUACACCAAAACAAAAAACUACAUCAAAAAUAACCUGGAGUUAAUUGUUUGGACAUGGAAUACAUUCAUGUUUAAACAUUACCCAAAUGUCUCUUCUGUUCAUACUACAGGUUCAUAGUCUGCAACUGUGAGAGCAGGCCCCCCACUUAGUGUAUUUGUCAAGCUGAGUUGGACACUCAGUAUUACAGGGUGUCAGUUUGUCAAAUACCCCAAGUGAGGGGUCACUUGUCUGCUGAGCAUCUCCCAUCAGACUAACUUCAAAGAAGAACACGUCAUUAACCUCCAAGUGACUUUCACUGUUAAGACUUUCUCAGAGGCAAGACAUUUUGAUUAUGUGAAAAUGAUUAUCUUUAUCUACUAUGCGUGAUUAUGUGCAAUUGAUCACGCACUGUCACAAAUGUCUCAUGUAUUUUGUGUAAGUUUGUAUGAUGGAACUUAGUACACUGUGUAACAAAUGUGUGUCUCUGUAUUAAAUACUGCAUUAAAUAAGUACUGGGUUAUAAAA
Long non-coding RNA from Oncorhynchus nerka (sockeye salmon), 946 nucleotides. RefSeq lists it as uncharacterized. The record is from RefSeq and is a predicted model, not a curated record. The transcript has 2 exons. Lineage: Eukaryota; Metazoa; Chordata; Actinopteri; Salmoniformes; Salmonidae.